UUUCCGUAGGUGAACCUGCGGAAGGAUCAUUAAAGAGUAAGGGUCUUCGGGCCCGAUCUUCAACCCUUUGUUUAACUACCAUGUUGCUUUGGCGGGCCCGUCUCACGACCGCCGGAAGUUUGGCUUCGACCAAACUUCUGGCCCGUGCCCGUCAGUGGCCCCUUCAAAUUCUUGAUCAAGUAUGAUGUCUUAGUUAAAAACUUAAUAGUUAAAACUUUCAACAACGGAUCUCUUGGUUCUG
RNAcentral lists this unclassified non-coding RNA (241 nucleotides) under plant metagenome. RNAcentral's name for it is "partial contains small subunit ribosomal RNA, internal transcribed spacer 1, and 5.8S ribosomal RNA". The record is from RNAcentral.